Molecule: ribosomal RNA, 253 nt
Filed under: uncultured bacterium
Lineage: Bacteria
Description: partial 16S ribosomal RNA
Rfam family: Bacterial small subunit ribosomal RNA
Source: RNAcentral
UACGGGGGGGGCAAGCGUUGUUCGGAAUUACUGGGCGUAAAGGGCGCGUAGGCGGUUCGCUAAGUUGGAUGUGAAAACUCUGGGCUCAACCCAGAGCCUGCAUCCAAAACUGGCGGGCUAGAGUUCUGGAGGGGGUAGCGGAAUUCCUGGUGUAGCGGUGAAAUGCGCAGAUAUCAGGAGGAACACCGGUGGCGAAGGCGGAUCUCUGGGCCUUACCUGACGCUCAGGCGCGAAAGUGUGGGGAGCGAACAGG